This 572-nucleotide unclassified non-coding RNA is filed under the name Hevea brasiliensis (rubber tree). The record is from RNAcentral. Lineage: Eukaryota; Viridiplantae; Streptophyta; Magnoliopsida; Malpighiales; Euphorbiaceae.
CUUCAGAAGAACAUGUUUUCGAUCAAUUGGUCAUUCUAAUUUAACCACUUGAUGUGAUGUAAUGUUUAGUGUGUCGAUGGCGAAAAUAAUGAAACCAUGUCAAUCAAUUUUAUUCUGCUUUUCUCCUACAGGAAAUUAGAAGACGUGGUCUCAAUGUUGCAGUUGCUGGAAUCCCCAAGACAAUCGAUAAUGAUAUACCGGUUAUUGACAAGUCAUUUGGUUUUGACUCCGCCGUUGAGGAAGCCCAACGUGCUAUCAGUGCUGCUCAUGUUGAAGCUACCAGUUUUGAGAAUGGAAUUGGCCUUGUGAAGUUAAUGGGACGGGACAGUGGGUUCAUCGCGAUGUAUGCUACUCUUGCUAGUCGAGAUGUUGACUGCUGUUUGAUUCCAGAAUCCCCUUUCUAUCUUGAAGGAAGCGGUGGACUGUUUGAGUAUAUCGAACAUAGACUCAAAGACAAUGGACAUAUGGUUAUAGUCAUAGCUGAAGGUGCUGGACAAGAGCUAGUUUCCGAGAGUUUGAAAUCCACUGAUCCUUCAGGGAAUAAACUUUUACAAGAUGUUGGCUUAUGGAGC